Molecule: ribosomal RNA, 561 nt
Filed under: uncultured fungus
Lineage: Eukaryota; Fungi
Description: eukaryotic LSU rRNA
Rfam family: 5.8S ribosomal RNA (bases 199-352)
Source: RNAcentral
GUCUCCGUAGGUGAACCUGCGGAGGGAUCAUUACACAAAUAUGAAGGCGGGCUGGAACCUCUCGGGGUUACAGCCUUGCUGAAUUAUUCACCCUUGUCUUUUGCGUACUUCUUGUUUCCUUGGUGGGUUCGCCCACCACUAGGACAAACAUAAACCUUUUGUAAUUGCAAUCAGCGUCAGUAACAAAUUAAUAAUUACAACUUUCAACAACGGAUCUCUUGGUUCUGGCAUCGAUGAAGAACGCAGCGAAAUGCGAUAAGUAGUGUGAAUUGCAGAAUUCAGUGAAUCAUCGAAUCUUUGAACGCACAUUGCGCCCUUUGGUAUUCCAAAGGGCAUGCCUGUUCGAGCGUCAUUUGUACCCUCAAGCUUUGCUUGGUGUUGGGCGUCUUGUCUCUAGCUUUGCUGGAGACUCGCCUUAUAGUAAUUGGCAGCCGGCCUACUGGUUUCGGAGCGCAGCACAAGUCGCACUCUCUAUCAGCAAAGGUCUAGCAUCCAUUAAGCCUUUUUUUCAACUUUUGACCUCGGAUCAGGUAGGGAUACCCGCUGAACUUAAGCAUAUCA